RNAcentral lists this ribosomal RNA (483 nucleotides) under uncultured bacterium. RNAcentral describes it as "bacterial SSU rRNA". It matches the Rfam family "Bacterial small subunit ribosomal RNA", at positions 30 to 507 of the family's 1533-position model. The record is from RNAcentral.
AUUGAACGCUGGCGGCAUGCCUUACACAUGCAAGUCGAACGGUAACAGGUCUUCGGAUGCUGACGAGUGGCGAACGGGUGAGUAAUACAUCGGAACGUGCCCGAUCGUGGGGGAUAACGGAGCGAAAGCUUUGCUAAUACCGCAUACGAUCUACGGAUGAAAGCAGGGGACCGCAAGGCCUUGCGCGGACGGAGCGGCCGAUGGCAGAUUAGGUAGUUGGUGGGAUAAAAGCUUACCAAGCCGACGAUCUGUAGCUGGUCUGAGAGGACGACCAGCCACACUGGGACUGAGACACGGCCCAGACUCCUACGGGAGGCAGCAGUGGGGAAUUUUGGACAAUGGGCGCAAGCCUGAUCCAGCCCAUGCCGCGUGCAGGAUGAAGGCCUUCGGGUUGUAAACUGCUUUUGUACGGAACGAAAAGACUCUUUCUAAUAAAGAGGGUCCAUGACGGUACCGUAAGAAUAAGCACCGGCUAACUACGUG